UUCUUAGGUCCUCAGGGGAGUGUUUUCCUUCCAUGAUCAGAUCCCACUGUAGGUGGCAAUGCCUGCUGGGAGCCUGAGAAAAUUACACAAACAUGGCAGGUAAAGUGGGGUCAGGGACCUGGGA
Rhinopithecus bieti (black snub-nosed monkey) is the source of this 124-nucleotide non-coding RNA. The record is from Ensembl. Lineage: Eukaryota; Metazoa; Chordata; Mammalia; Primates; Cercopithecidae.